This is a long non-coding RNA of Herpailurus yagouaroundi (jaguarundi), 1384 nucleotides long. RefSeq lists it as uncharacterized. Lineage: Eukaryota; Metazoa; Chordata; Mammalia; Carnivora; Felidae. The transcript is spliced from 4 exons. The record is from RefSeq and is a predicted model, not a curated record.
UUCUUUCUCUUUCUUUCUUUCUUUCUUUCUUUCUUUCUUUCUUUCUUUCUUUCUGGCAGAAGAUUGGAAACAAUAUUCAUUUCUGAUCAGUUCAGUAAUACAAUGUCCUUCAGUGUCCACUUGAGCGUUUCAGUGGCGAAGAAAAGAAACUUUGCUACCUGGGAACUGAAGACUGCUUAGGUCAGUGAAUGCUAAUAAAGUCCUUAAGGACUCAUGGAACCAGGAGUUAACUUUUCUCAACUGUGAAGGCAAAGAUGGGCUGUCUGGAAAGCUGGACUCAGCCUGGAGCCUGCUACCCAGAUUGCGAUUUUGUGAAGACUUCCGCAUACAAAUGACUCAGAUGCAAACAUUCAGAAAUGAUCUUGGAGGGCCAUCUGGUCCUUGCUGGUUCUGAAAGCUUCAUUCAGCCUGGCGGAUGGAGCCCGUGCAAAAGAGAGUGAGGGCCCCGCACUGAGGUUUAAAUACGUUCCCCUGACCGAGGCGAGAAGCUGACUUUCGAAAUAGCUGAGGCUCGAGGGCCGGCUGAUGUCGCCUCCCUCUUAUAGAUGUUGGCGUUCCGCAUUCAGUCAUUCCCGUCUUUCCACGACUGUGGUGCUCCAGGAGAUCUGCCCUACAAGAUCUGGAAUACCGUCAGAUGAAAUAAACUGCCUCUGAGGGAGCUCUGGGUUCCCAUGAUUCUUACUGAUACGUACAACAGGCAAGAACGUUGGACGGAGCCAGAUUUAGUUGUCAGGACCUCAGUCACAUACUGCCUCACCCUCGUCUCCACCCGGCACCUCCUCUGAGAAGCCUUCCAGGAUCCCACCCCCUGCCACCACCCCACUUUCUUCUACCUUCACAUCAGAAUUAGCCACCCCUGGCCUUCGCUGUCUUUCCCAGGGCUCUCGGGACACCGGUCCCUCAAAUGACAUAAUCCGGUCCGCUUCAGUGUUGACCACUUAACUCCUCCUCCUGCCACAGGUCAGGGACCUAGUCUAUCCUUUUUAUAUUCUUUGUGCCUGGCACUUAGAGGGGUCUCAGUAAAUACUAAUCCAAUAAGGGAACGAAGGAGGCUUCUCAAUAAGCUUUCUGGGUUUCCCUAAGAGUUUGUAGAUUGCAGGAGCACCGGAUUCCUUGGGGGCGUCUUCACAUAGGAACAGGGAAAGAUUUAGAGCCUCUGUGAACGUAUUUUCUGAGUAUGGGUGGCAGGGAGUGUGUGGUCAGGCGUUCUCUGGUAUGGCUAACUGGGUUGUGUCCCUCGGCUCUGCUCGCCUUCUCCCUGCGGCUAAUGCAGAAGCACCGUCCACAUCACCACCUGCACCCAGCUGAGGCGGCCAUGACACCAGUGUCUGUAGACCUUUUGGCCAUACCUCUUGGCCGCGCCACCUUUAGAAAUGAGCUCCCG